Molecule: non-coding RNA, 341 nt
Organism: Pelobates cultripes (western spadefoot toad)
Lineage: Eukaryota; Metazoa; Chordata; Amphibia; Anura; Pelobatidae
Source: the annotation of a GenBank genome assembly
CAAAAUUUUUGUAUCUCCUGCUUUGAGGUGUCUCAAAAUGCAACAAACAUAAAAUCAACAAUGGGCUGUUUUUCCAAAUUAUUAUACUGCCUGUCAAAAUGGCUAUAUGGUUUGAUAUUUGCUGGAAUCUGUUCUGUAUAUCAGAUUUGUAUUGCUAAGGGAAGCAAUGAAAUUGGGCAGCAAUUUGUAGUAGAAUUAAGGUCAAGGGAAGGUUUCUUGAGUAUGGAAGUGACCAUUGAAUGAAAUGGGACAGUAUGAACCAGUGUAAAUGGAUAGGUUGAAUACAUGAGUGAGAGCAGAAGUGAGAUAGAAGACAGAGGAAGUUUUAGAUGUGAUGGUCA